AUCACUUGAGAUCGUCCAUCAGAAGUGUUAACAUAGAUCUCUAUGCCGAUGAGGAUUUGGGCAACACACCUAUGAACGAAGAAGUGAAGGAGGAGAUUGUAGUUUACCUAUUCCAGUGAAGGGCAAGAUAGAGACUUUAAAUCAAGCAUUAGAUAUCUUUGGGAUGAAUGUGAUUGUGGAAGCAAGUUUUUUGUUAUGACCAAGCAAAAAUAACAUCACAUAUCAAGGAUCGUGAUCUCCGAUCCAGAAAUUUUGCCAACCAGUUAGAAGCGGCUACCUUGGAACAAAUAGUUCUAAUUCCGUAUAAUACUGGGUAAAUAAAUAAGAUUAACACAUUAUUAUGUUUUUCAUUGAGGUUAAAUGUAUACUCACAUUGAAGAUGUUUAUUGUAGUUUUCAUUGGAUGUUGCAUGUCAUCGAUCUUCGAGAGAACUGUGUUUAUGUUUUGGACUCUCUUCAAAGUAAAGUUAACGAAGACAUCCAUGGAGUCA
This is a long non-coding RNA of Cucumis sativus (cucumber), 490 nucleotides long. RefSeq lists it as uncharacterized. The transcript has 3 exons. Lineage: Eukaryota; Viridiplantae; Streptophyta; Magnoliopsida; Cucurbitales; Cucurbitaceae. The record is from RefSeq and is a predicted model, not a curated record.